Molecule: RNA transcript, 4229 nt
Organism: Alligator sinensis (Chinese alligator)
Lineage: Eukaryota; Metazoa; Chordata; Crocodylia; Alligatoridae
Gene: GTPBP2
Gene name: GTP binding protein 2
Exons: 13
Source: RefSeq, a predicted model, not a curated record
AAGAAGAAGGGCGGGCGCGGCCGGGGCGGCAAGGCCAACAACCCGCCCUACCUGCCUCCCGAGGCAGAAGAUGGGAACAUUGAGUACAAGCUGAAGCUGGUGAACCCCUCGCAGUAUCGCUUUGAGCACCUAGUGACGCAGAUGAAGUGGCGGCAGCAGGAAGGCCGGGGCGAGGCUGUAUAUCAGAUUGGUGUGGAGGACAAUGGGCUGCUGGUGGGUCUGUCAGAGGAGGAGAUGCGUGCUUCCCUCAAGACACUGCGCCGCAUGGCUGAAAAGGUCGGCGCUGACAUCACCGUCCUGCGGGAGCGCGAGGUAGAUUAUGACAGCGACAUUCCCAGGAAGAUAACAGAGGUCCUUGUCCGGAAGGUUCCUGAUAACCAGCAGUUCCUAGACCUGCGAGUGGCUGUGUUGGGGAAUGUGGACUCAGGGAAAUCAACCCUGCUGGGUGUCCUCACACAGGGUGAGCUGGAUAAUGGGAGGGGCAGAGCUCGCCUCAACCUCUUCCGGCAUCUCCAUGAAAUUCAGUCAGGAAGAACAUCCAGCAUCAGCUUUGAGAUCCUGGGCUUCAACAGCAAAGGAGAGGUAGUGAACUACAGUGACUCACGAACCGCAGAAGAAAUCUGUGAGAGUUCCUCCAAAAUGAUCACCUUCAUUGACCUGGCUGGCCACCAUAAGUACCUGAAAACCACCAUCUUUGGCCUCACCAGCUACUGCCCGGACUUUGCUAUGCUGGUAGUGAGUGCCAACACUGGCAUCGCAGGUACAACGCGAGAGCACCUGGGCCUGGCCAUGGCCCUCAAGGUACCUUUCUUCAUCGUCAUCAGCAAAGUGGACUUGUGUUCAAAAGCCACUGUGGAACGGACUGUGAAGCAGCUGGAGCGCAUCCUGAAGCAGCCAGGCUGCAACAAGCUCCCCCUGUUGGUGAACUCGGAUGAUGAUGCUGUUACAGCAGCGCAGCAGUUUGCACAGUCUCCCAACAUCACCCCCAUCUUCACUCUGUCCAGCGUUUCUGGGGAGAAUCUGGAUCUCUUGAAAGUUUUCCUCAACAUCCUUCCUCCUCUGACCAACAGCAAAGAGCAGGAGGAGUUGAUGCAACAGCUCACAGAGUUCCAGGUGGAUGAGAUCUACACAGUGCCUGAGGUGGGGACUGUCGUGGGAGGAACACUGUCAAGUGGGAUCUGCAGAGAGGGGGAGAACCUGGUGGUUGGCCCAACUGACGAUGGCAAGUUCCUCCAGCUGAAGGUGUGUAGCAUCCAGCGGAACCGUUCAGCAUGUCGCGUGCUCCGGGCAGGACAGGCUGCUACCUUGGCCCUUGGGUCCUUUGACCGGUCCCUGCUACGCAAGGGCAUGGUGAUGGUGAGCCCAGAGAUGAACCCCACUAUCUGCUCAGUCUUUGAAGCUGAGAUCGUACUGCUUUUCCACGCCACAACUUUCAGGAAAGGAUUCCAGGUCACCGUGCAUGUGGGAAAUGUGCGGCAGACUGCCAUUGUGGAGAAGAUCCAUGGGAAGGACAAGCUGCGAACAGGGGAGAAGGCUGUCGUUCGUUUCAGGUUCAUCAAACACCCUGAGUACUUGAAGAUCGGAGCCAAGCUGCUCUUCCGGGAAGGUGUCACCAAAGGCAUUGGGCAUGUCACCGACCUUCAAGGCAUCACCACCAAAGAGAACAGCUUAGAGGAAACCCUGGGGACAGGAGGACUGAGCUUCUGACUACCUUUCAGUGGGAGCGCUCUCCAGACACCAACGAUUGGGGAGACUGAUGGGAGCUCCCCCAGCUCUUCAGGUGCUACCAGGAGCUGCUGCUACCCAGUUCUAGCAUGGGUUUCUCUCCUCCGCGUUGCAAGAUGGAGCCCAGAUUUUCUUGCAUUCAGUGCCCUUCGUGGGACAAAUGAAGCAUGUCUUUGCAUCGCCUGCUGUUUUCGUUAACCUGCCCUCUCUGAGAAUAGACCAGCGGCAGACCUGGGCAGGCGAGUCCUGGCUUUGUUUCUUGUUUGGAAAGUUACUGGCUUAGGCAAAGCAAAGCCCCUGAAGUGAAUGACUGGCAGCGAAGGGAACCUGCCUCCUGUCAUGCAGAAAGAUCAGCCCCAUUCUGGCUUGCCGAGCAUUGGGCCCUGUUGUCAUACUGUUUUCCCUAUGGGGCAAUAGACCUUUGGGUAGGGGCAGGACCAAGCCUUGCCACCUACAGCAGGGGCUGGGUUACACAUGGACUCACAAACAAAAGGAACGCCUCUCAAAUUGCUUUCAGGACACUUUUUAACCCUUUGAUUUUGGUUGGUUUUAAUCCAGUUCUAAUUUCCUUCUGUGCUGAGUUUUCAAGACUCCUCCUUAGUUUCAUCUCUUCCUGUGUGUGUCAACUUGGGGGAAACCUCCUCCCUGGACUAGCCCUCACCUGGUGGGGUGACUUCUGCCCAGUGCUCCUGUCAUGUGGGAGGUCUACACAGCCCAGUACAGUUGGCCUGCUAAAGGCAGCAUGAAGCCAGAUUUUACACCUGUCUCUUCUGCUCACUGAGGCUAGCCAUAGCCUGUGCUUAUACCUGCAGGUGGCUGUUGGAGUUUAGCAGCAGUGACUUGCAGUGGAUUUGUUGCAGUCAGACUGUGCCCCAGCCCAGCUCGCUCCUUGGGGACUUGCCUUAAUACUUAAGAAGCCUAGGGGGCAGUUAGCGGCACAACGCACAGUGGCUUCUACCAUUGGAUGCAAUUUUGACAGCAACUGCUGCAGUGAUACUUUUGCUCUCGUUCUUCUUGGUCAAGUAGAGGGGAGACGUCCUUGUCUCUGCCAUGGAGACGUGUCUGAGGAAAGCUAGUGUGAGCCCAUGGCUACUGAAGAACCUGUAUGCAGGUAGAGACCAGCAUGCUCCUGUCUCCCUCCACUCUGGCUAUAUACUUCCCCACUUGUGUCCUUCAGGUAACAAGUGCUAAGUAGUGAGGGGCAGCCUGGAGAGUGCAGUAGAGGCUGUAUUGCUGUACGUAAGGCUCCUGAUUUUCUUGGUGACUUCAGCCAGGCUGGUUGGCUGGAGCACUGCCUGCAGCUAGCAUGCUGCAUAAGGAGACAUGGACAGCUGGGCUGGGUAGCGUCUGCAGGUGGUGUUAAGGAGAAAAAAGGGAGCUAGUGUUUUGCUCCCUGCGAUGCAGAUCAGAUGCUCUAAGGCGAAUGUCCCUCAAACAACCUGGGGCCAGAUGCUUCUGCGGCCUCCUGCUCAGGGUUUUCUUCUUGCUGGGGCUGCCGCCAGGGUCCGUGGAGGACUCACCCAUGGAGAACCACACAGCUGAUGAAACUGCCUGCAAGCCUAAAGUUUUCAACCACACCCAGAACUGUUACAACGUGGCAGGAAUCCCCUUCCCAGAGCCAAGUUCACAUGCCAGCAGCUAGCAACCACUGUUUUGAAUGUGGCCUGAGCCUGAAGAAGUCACCUCCUGUGGGGGAGGUGGGGGUAGAUCCUGAUAAGCUGAGCUCUGCUAUGGAAAUGAAAGCUUCCUUAUUCAGCACAACAGCCGGUCUCUCCUCAGCACAGAUUUGCUCUGCUGCAGUGGUGCUGUGUACUGGGGUGAUCCUCUCUACAGCCCGCAAAGUAGGCUGUUCCCUACUUUGGGAGCUUGUCAGCCAGCCCCUUGUAGUCCUUGCUGCAGAACAGCUGGACCUGUAUCAAAGGCCAGCUGAUACAGCUGCUUGCAACCUUCAGGUAAAGAACAUGCUACUAUAAGCAGCAAAAAAUAGGUGGAGCCUCCUCUCUGGAAAGGGAAAAGUGCUUUUUUAAACAGACCCAAGGGAUUCUCUCUCAGCUUUUUUCUUUAAAAAUCACAUCACUGCUGUAGCUAGCCCCUAGUCCCAGGGGCCCCCUAGCAUGGUCCAAAGUAGUUAUCAAUGCUCAGGGAGAAUACAGAGCAAGUAGGACCAAUACUAGUGCAAUGGGUGCCAUGCAGCAGAAAGCUGUUUCCUGCCACUAUCUACACACAAAUUCUCUGUCAUGCUUUGAACUCCUGCCUCAUGCAAAAGUCAGUGCUGAGGGUCCUGACAUUAGUCAGCUGGAGUAGCCAAGAGAAAGAGGAAAAUCCAUUCCACUCCAGUAGCCUAAGCACAUGACUAAGAAGGAUACAAUGUCAGGCUACAUGACAGGCAAGCCCCAGCCCUGCCCUGCCUCACUGCGCCAUCUUAAGUGGGGAAAACACCACAGCCUACAGAGACCAAAGAUAACAUUCUUUGCUUUUUGUGCAAAACUCCACAGCAGCAGCAC